This is a long non-coding RNA of Oryza brachyantha (malo sina), 1432 nucleotides long. RefSeq lists it as uncharacterized. The transcript has 3 exons. Lineage: Eukaryota; Viridiplantae; Streptophyta; Magnoliopsida; Poales; Poaceae. The record is from RefSeq and is a predicted model, not a curated record.
UGGCUGCUGUACCUCCUGGGGCUCUUCCUCUAAAGAAAUAUGUGGAACAGGAAGGUUAUGGUACUGAGACACUAACAAGAUGGUUUGUUGAAAGGAAAAUCCCAAAUAUGUUGAUAGAAAUAGACAAUGAUAUGGAUGAAAGGAAAUUCUUUUGCAAUACUUCGGCUCAGAAAUUCGGAAUUUUGCUAGCAGAUUGCUUGGAGAGUGAACAUAAGCACAACAGGUGCUUUGGAAGCUUCAAGGAAGAGGAUGUAUUUUACGAUCCACUUAAAGAAGUGUUGGUCAUAGCAGUACAAGCUGUUGAUUUCACCCCAGAGAGAUAUAUAAAAGAUUGGAAUGUGUACAAAAAGAUAUUAAGUAUUUUCGUUUACGUACACCAACUGGUAAAUUGGAGUAUGCUUGUAUGGUAGGGGAUUUGGUGAAUCGAAUAGAUAACCUGAAAGAAGAUAAUGGUAUUGGUGUGAUGUGGAGGGACAGGUUGAUGCUUUAUCAGCACCCCUGUUUUAAGACUGCCUCAGAACUUAUUGGUAUCAUCCUAAAGUUGGUUCUGCACUCUCACACACUUCCAUCAGUAGAACUGGAGAGUUUUAUAUCUGCAUUUGGUAGGGUGCUAUCCUGGAAAAGUCAAGCUUGUAAAUCAAAGCGUUUGAAAGAGAUGAUGGAGUACAAGGUGUACAACAAGUGGGGGGAACUGAAACUGCAUAAGCAAUAUGAGGAAGAUAGUGGAUUUUCAAGGUUGGAUAUGUCGAGAUGUGCGCUUCAGCAUGUGGUUCGUGCUGGGAAGAUAUCUGAAAUGGACGUAUUUGUGCUCCUGUGUAUCAUCUGGGAAGACCAACUGUCCCAUGUCAUAGAGUCUAUGCUGAGAUAUCAACCACCUAAUAACAACCUGGACAUGUCCAAGGAUCCAAACAAAUCUAAAAACCACCUGAAGAUUAUUGAGAUACUUGGAUUCUUGGAGGAGGGAAAAAACUUGCCACUGUGUUAAGUCGUUCCAGGACAACACUAAUGUCCCUAUGAUGGAAGGUAUGAGAAACAUAACAUACAGAAGUCUGCUAGGAUGGAAGUUAACAAGAGGCAACAGUGGAAGUGUCGGACGUACAUCCUACUUUUGUUGGAAUCAUCAAGUGUCUAUAUUGGGUUCUGUAGUGGCUUGCAAUCCAUGUUUUGUUGGGUUAUCUCGGGCAGGCCCAUUCUAGUUUUGUUACACACUUGAUAAAAUGUAUGCAGUCAAAUAGAACUUUGAGUGAAAAUUGAUGCAUUCUCUAGCUGUCUGACAUGUAAAAAGCAAAUACAAGCAGAUGGCAUGCUCACCCACUGCGGUUUCUCCUUUUUUUUUUGUUGGAGUUGGAUAUCGUACUUCUUGUCUUAGGUUUAAAAUCACUUAUGCCCCUUAUCCUGCUAUCUAGAUGGCAUCAUUUGUGUGAUAUAUUCU